RNAcentral lists this non-coding RNA (24 nucleotides) under Cricetulus griseus (Chinese hamster). The record is from RNAcentral. Lineage: Eukaryota; Metazoa; Chordata; Mammalia; Rodentia; Cricetidae.
AUGAAAUUAAUGUUAGAAGCCUGA